AAAUUCAACACAUUAUUCUCCCCCUUUUUCAUUAAAUUAGAGGCUCUUAAGAUCAACUAUUUGAAUUGCAAUUUGGUUCAUGAUUGAUGCAUAAGAUAUACUAACCAAAUAACAAGCCUCAAGGUGUAUCGUAAAGAUUUUUAGAUUAAAUUUCAGAUGAUACAUAUUGGAGAGUAUUAGGAUCACUUUUUAUUUAGUAUUCUUUCCCUCUCCUUUAGUUAUG
This 223-nucleotide long non-coding RNA is filed under the name Phoenix dactylifera (date palm). Its description in RNAcentral is "long non-coding RNA (PDAC_LNC011540)". Lineage: Eukaryota; Viridiplantae; Streptophyta; Magnoliopsida; Arecales; Arecaceae. The record is from RNAcentral.